RNAcentral lists this ribosomal RNA (243 nucleotides) under uncultured bacterium. RNAcentral's name for it is "partial 16S ribosomal RNA". It matches the Rfam family "Bacterial small subunit ribosomal RNA", at positions 337 to 572 of the family's 1533-position model. The record is from RNAcentral.
UCCUACGGGAGGCAGCAGUAGGGAAUUUUCGUCAAUGGGCGCAAGCCUGAACGAGCGAUGCCGCGUGAGUGAAGAAGGCCUUCGGGUCGUAAAGCUCUGUUGCGGGGGAAAAAAGGCAGCAUCAGGAAAUGGGUGCUGACUGAUGGUGCCCCGCCAGAAAGUCACGGCUAACUACGUGCCAGCAGCCGCGGUAAUACGUAGGUGGCGAGCGUUAUCCGGAAUGAUUGGGCGUAAAGGGUGCGC